CUCAGCUUCCUUGUUCUUUCCGCCUAUAUACCACCGUCGUCAGUUUACCCUGUGAAGGUACAACAGUAAGCACAAUCGGCACAGCCCAAAACGCCAGGUCGAGGUGUAGCGUAUGGAAGGGGAAGAAAUGGGCUACAUUCCUUAUCAUUAAGGCAUACGGAUGAUAUGUUGAAACACAUAACUGAAGGAGGAUUUAGCAGUAAGCAGGAAGUAGAGUGUCCCGCUGAAACCGGCUCUGAAGCGCGCACACACCGCCCGUCACUCUCCCCGAGCUAAGAUUUGUCAUUUAACUAAAACCUUAUAACUGUAAAGGGGAGGCAAGUCGUAACAUGGUAAGUGUACCGGAAGGUGCACUUGGAAUAAACAUAC
RNAcentral lists this ribosomal RNA (369 nucleotides) under Centropyge vrolikii (pearlscale angelfish). Its description in RNAcentral is "partial 12S ribosomal RNA". It matches the Rfam family "Bacterial small subunit ribosomal RNA", at positions 1012 to 1533 of the family's 1533-position model. Lineage: Eukaryota; Metazoa; Chordata; Actinopteri; Pomacanthidae. The record is from RNAcentral.